UGUGAUCUGCAGUGAUGGGGAAAUGUGACGUCUUAUGAUUGUUCCCGUCUCUCAGUGUCUCCUUCUAUCUCUGGGUGUCCUCCAUCCUCACCCAUGUAGAAUCUUCCAUCACCUGUCCUCUUAUCAUGUCUUCUCCUCUCUCUGAGGGAAUCUUUCUCUUUUUAUAAUCUCAUCCAUGGAAUUUGGGGUUCCCCUUAUAGUAGAAGAGUGACCAGGCUCUGUACAUAUGGAAUGACCCUCCAUAUUCCUAACAAGCAGGAAAUAGGAUGGAAUAGAAACCCUUAGGACUCGCUCACACGUGUGAUGAUGAUGAAGAAGGAAGCAAUGCUCAGUAACAAUUCUAUGACAUUUAUGAUGUGUCUUCAUUGUGUUUAUGAAGCUCUGAAAACACUAUAAGAAUGCUGGAUAAAUGUCCGGGGGAGGGGUUGCUUUUCUUGUGGGAGUAGCCUAAAGGGGGAGUGAUGUAGAGGAAAUGAUCUCCUCUGAUAUGUGGAUUUCUGAUAUGUGAAUCUUGGAUACCAUGUAUGGGAACCUCCACCAGACCUGUGUCUCCUGUCCUCCAAACACACCCACAGCCGGCAGACUCACCAUAACCAGCCCUUAAUCCCUAAAUCACGAGACAAGCCACAUAGGUGUUGAGGGUUAAAUAUGCAGAGCACAAACUGUUUAUUAAGUACCAAACAUUCACUUUUAAACAUAGUUAGGGACACUCCCCUUAGCCUUGUCAUAGAGGGGGUAGGGACAAGGAAGAAUCAAUGGAAACUCAACACUUGUAUAAUCAAAC
Molecule: long non-coding RNA, 784 nt
Organism: Rana temporaria (common frog)
Lineage: Eukaryota; Metazoa; Chordata; Amphibia; Anura; Ranidae
Exons: 3
Source: RefSeq, a predicted model, not a curated record